AAUAGAUACCCGGAUAGUCCACGCCGUAAACGAUGAGUGCUAAGUGUUAGAGGGUUUCCGCCCUUUAGUGCUGCAGCUAACGCAUUAAGCACUCCGCCUGGGGAGUACGGUCGCAAGACUGAAACUCAAAGGAAUUGACGGGGGCCCGCACAAGCGGUGGAGCAUGUGGUUUAAUUCGAAGCAACGCGAAGAACCUUACCAGGUCUUGACAUCCUCUGACAACUCUAGAGAUAGAGCGUUCCCCUUCGGGGGACAGAGUGACAGGUGGUGCAUGGUUGUCGUCAGCUCGUGUCGUGAGAUGUUGGGUUAAGUCCCGCAACGAGCGCAACCCUUGAUCUUAGUUGCCAGCAUUUAGUUGGGCACUCUAAGGUGACUGCCGGUGACAAACCGGAGGAAGGUGGGGAUGACGUCAAAUCAUCAUGCCCCUUAUGACCUGGGCUACACACGUGCUACAAUGGAUGGUACAAAGGGCUGCAAGACCGCGAGGUCAAGCCAAUCCCAUAAAACCAUUCUCAGUUCGGAUUGUAGG
Molecule: ribosomal RNA, 529 nt
Filed under: uncultured bacterium
Lineage: Bacteria
Description: bacterial SSU rRNA
Rfam family: Bacterial small subunit ribosomal RNA
Source: RNAcentral